AUUGAACGCUGGCGGCAGGCCUAACACAUGCAAGUCGAGCGGAUGAAGGGAGCUUGCUCCUGGAUUCAGCGGCGGACGGGUGAGUAAUGCCUAGGAAUCUGCCUGGUAGUGGGGGUAACGGUCGGGAACGGGCGCUAAUACCGGCUACGGCCCGGGGGGGAAAGGGGGGGGUUUUCGGGCCUCACGCUAUCCAGUGGGCCUUAGGUGGGAUUAGCUAGUUGGUGGGGUAAAGGCCUACCAAGGCGACGAUCCGUAACUGGUCUGAGAGGAUGAUCAGUCACACUGGAACUGAGACACGGUCCAGACUCCUACGGGAGGCAGCAGUGGGGAAUAUUGGACAAUGGGCGAAAGCCUGAUCCAGCCAUGCCGCGUGUGUGAAGAAGGUCUUCGGAUUGUAAAGCACUUUAAGUUGGGAGGAAGGGCAGUAAGUUAAUACCUUGCUGUUUUGACGUUACCAACAGAAUAAGCACCGGCUAACUUCGUG
RNAcentral lists this ribosomal RNA (484 nucleotides) under uncultured bacterium. RNAcentral describes it as "partial 16S ribosomal RNA". It matches the Rfam family "Bacterial small subunit ribosomal RNA", at positions 30 to 507 of the family's 1533-position model. The record is from RNAcentral.